GGCCUGAUGGUCUAGUAGUAUGAUUCACCCUUAGGGUGGGUGAGGUCCCGGGUUCAAUUCCCGGUCAAGCCC
RNAcentral lists this transfer RNA (72 nucleotides) under Melampsora larici-populina 98AG31. RNAcentral describes it as "tRNA-Pro (AGG) (tRNA-Pro-AGG-1-1)". It matches the Rfam family "tRNA". Rfam says of the family: Transfer RNA (tRNA) molecules are approximately 80 nucleotides in length. Their secondary structure includes four short double-helical elements and three loops (D, anti-codon, and T loops). Lineage: Eukaryota; Fungi; Basidiomycota; Pucciniomycetes; Pucciniales; Melampsoraceae. The record is from RNAcentral.